GAGACAGUUCAUAGAGUGUAAAGGCAUAAGGGAGCUUGACUGCGAGACCUACAAGUCGAGCAGGGUCGAAAGACGGACUUAGUGAUCCGGUGGUUCCGCAUGGAAGGGCCAUCGCUCAACGGAUAAAAGCUGCCCCGGGGAUAACAGGCUUAUCUCCCCCAAGAGUUCACAUCGACGGGGAGGUUUGGCACCUCGAUGUCGGCUCAUCGCAUCCUGGGGCUGUAGUCGGUCCCAAGGGUUGGGCUGUUCGCCCAUUAAAGCGGUACGCGAGCUGGGUUCAGAACGUCGUGAGACAGUUCGGUCCCUAUCCGUCGUGGGCGUAGGAAAUUUGAGAGGAGCUGUCCUUAGUACGAGAGGACCGGGAUGGACAUACCUCUGGUGUACCAGUUGUCGUGCCAACGGCAUAGCUGGGUAGCUAUGUGUGGACGGGAUAAGUGCUGAAAGCAUCUAAGCAUGAAGCCCCCCUCAAGAUGAGAUUUCCCAACUUCGGUUAUAAGAUCCCUCAAAGAUGAUGAGGUUAAUAGGUUCGAGGUGGAAGCAUGGUGACAUGUGGAGCUGACGAAUACUAAUCG
Molecule: ribosomal RNA, 572 nt
Filed under: Staphylococcus aureus
Lineage: Bacteria; Bacillati; Bacillota; Bacilli; Caryophanales; Staphylococcaceae
Description: partial 23S ribosomal RNA
Rfam family: Bacterial large subunit ribosomal RNA
Source: RNAcentral